Molecule: ribosomal RNA, 478 nt
Filed under: uncultured bacterium
Lineage: Bacteria
Description: partial 16S ribosomal RNA
Rfam family: Bacterial small subunit ribosomal RNA
Source: RNAcentral
GAUGAACGCUGGCGGCAGGCCUAACACAUGCAAGUCGAGGGAGAAGCCCUUUCGGGGGCAGAAACCGGCGCACGGGUGCGUAACGCGUAUGCAACCUACCUUUCACAGGGGGAUAGCCCGAAGAAAUUUGGAUUAAUACCCCAUAAUAUUAUUGGAUGGCAUCAUUUGAUAAUUAAAACUGCGGUGGUGAAAGAUGGGCAUGCGUCCUAUUAGCUAGUUGGAGUGGUAACGGCACCCCAAGGCUACGAUAGGUAGGGGUCCUGAGAGGGAGAUCCCCCACACUGGUACUGAGACAGGGACCAGACUCCUACGGGAGGCAGCAGUGAGGAAUAUUGGUCAAUGGUCGGAAGACUGAACCAGCCAUGCCGCGUGCAGGAAGAAUGCCUUAUGGGUUGUAAACUGCUUUUAUAUGGGAAGAAUAAGGCGUACGUGUACGUUGAUGACGGUACCAUAUGAAUAAGCAUCGGCUAACUCCGUG